GACUUAAGAUGGCGGCGUUUGCACGGAGUGCAAUCACUGCGUCCUUACGGGGGUUGCAAGGCGUCCGAAGUAUGAGUCCACUAACAAAAGUCCAGAAACUCGCCAGUUAAUAGUAUUGUGUCUCUUCAAAAUAUCGGAGAAUAAUUUCUUUCUCGCUGAUCGCCUAACUUCUACUGACGAAGCUUGGAAGUUGCAGAAGCCAGACAUGAUGUAUUGAGUAAAAGGAACUUCGGUACACAGGCCUUUAGUGAUGUGGUGGUAAGAUGUAUGAUGGAGUUCGCUCUUGUUGCCCAGGCUGGAAUGCAAUGGCAUGACCUUGGCUCACUGCAACCUCUGCCUCCCCAGUUCAAGUGGUUCUCCUGCCUCAGCCUCCCGAGUAGCUGAGAUUACAGUUUCUUCAAAGGAAAGAAGCAACUGGAACACACAUAUAACACUAACCCUUCCAGCUGCAUUAUGAGGGACCAGUACCUGUCUCAAGGCAAAAUUAUGACUUAGUUCAUCCUCACCUCUGGAGGCCAGUAAAAGUGGGUUAUAGAAGAACAAAGAGGCAUCUAGAUCUUUCACUGGGUUAUUUGGAGAGAAACAUCUCCUACCGAAGGCCAGUUUAACAAGACUGGUAGAGGAGGUUAUCUUAUCUAAUUCACAGAAAUCAACACAUUGAGUCAAGAAAAAUGAAACACAGAAACACUCUAAAUAAAAGAAGAUAAGUCUUCAGAAACCAACCCUAAUGAAAUGAAGAUAUGUGAUUAACCUGACAGGAAAUUAAAAAGAGCAACCAUAAAGAGUCUCAUGGGAGCAAUGCAUGAACAAACUGAGAAUUUUCAUAAAGAAAUAAAAGAUAACAAAAAGUAUAAAGUUGAAGAAUACAAUAACUGGACUCAAAAAUUUAAUGUGUCCAACAGAAGAAUCGAUGAAGCAGAAGAAAGGGCUAUCAAACUUGUAGAUAGGCCAUUGGAAAUCAUGUAAUGUGAGGAGAAAAAAGAAAAAAGAUUGAAGAUAGUUUAAGAGACUUUUGAGACAUCCUCAAAGGGGAAUAAUUUAUACAUUACCAGAUGGAGAAGAUAGAGGGAAAAGGACAGAAAACAUAUUUGAAGAAAUAAUGUCAGAAAACCUCAUAAUUCUGGCAAGGAAAUAGAAAUUUAGAUCUAAGAAUCUCGAACAUCAGGUAUGAUGAAUCCAAGGAGACUCACACCAAACCAUAUUGUAAUUAAAUAAAGGUUAAAGACAAUCUUCAGAGCAGCAAGGGAAUAGUCUCUUCUUACAUACAAAAUGAUCCACGGAAGACUGUCAGCAGACUUCACCAGAAAACUUUCACGCCAGAAGGCAGUCGUGAUAUAUACAAAAAGCUGAAAGGAAAACACUGCCAUCCAGGAAUACUAUCUCCAACUAUCCUGUGUUUCAAAAAUUAAGGAGAAAUAUAAA
RNAcentral lists this long non-coding RNA (1422 nucleotides) under Homo sapiens (human). RNAcentral's name for it is "JPX transcript, XIST activator". The stretch from base 1 to 121 matches the Rfam family "JPX transcript, XIST activator conserved region 1", at positions 15 to 135 of the family's 135-position model. The record is from RNAcentral. Lineage: Eukaryota; Metazoa; Chordata; Mammalia; Primates; Hominidae.